This is a long non-coding RNA of Salvia miltiorrhiza (redroot sage), 1032 nucleotides long. RefSeq lists it as uncharacterized. NCBI's taxonomy places the organism in Eukaryota, Viridiplantae, Streptophyta, Magnoliopsida, Lamiales, Lamiaceae. The record is from RefSeq and is a predicted model, not a curated record. The transcript has 2 exons.
GCCCUUGAUUUUUGUAUCCAAAAUUCGUCAAACCUGAAUUUUGACCCCCAAAUUUUCGAAGCUCUCAUUUUCGGCGACCCUCGGUUCUAACCAAACGAAGAACACUUUCCUGCGCAGAAUCGAAUUUUCACCCCAGAUUUUCGAAGCUCUCAUUUCCGGCGGCCCUCGGUUCUAACCAAACGAAGAACACUCUCCUGCGCAGAAUCGAACUUUCACCCCCAGAUUUUCGAAGCUCUCAUUUCCGGCGACCCUCAGUUCUAACCAAACGAAGAACACUCUCCUGCGCAGAAUCGAACUUUCACCCCCAGAUUUUCGAAGCUCUCAUUUCCGGCGACCCUCGGUUCUAACCAAACGAAGAACACUCUCCUGCGCAGAAUCGAACUUUCACCCCCAGAUUUUUGAAGCUCUCAUUUUCGGCGACCCUCGGUUCUAACCUAACGAAGAACACUCUCCUGCGCAGAAUCAACACACGGUGGGUACAAAUAUGAGAAUCCAAUUUUGAAUCUGUAAAUAUGCAGCUGAUUAUCUUAAAGUGUGCACUCAUCAAUUGAGCUACCAGAUGGCUCGGAUCGGAUGUAACAUCUCCAUACGUGCCUCCAACUGCUGGCAGGAGUAUACGUCAGAUAAAUGUGUUGAAAGAUGAAGUAGAAGCUGGGACCUUAAUCAUGACUACAACUCACAAGCUAGUAGAAGAAGGAUUCCUUGAUGACCCUUGUUGUAGUGGGAUUCGCUAGCCAAAGAAGAAGAAUUGAGAAUGAAGGCAGCUAAAGAUUGUGGUGCACCACUGAUUGAGAAUGAAGGCAGCUAAAGAAGCUACAGAUCUCGAGAAAGCAGGACAACACUAACAUGCGUGUACCACUGAUUGAGAAAAUUUUGAUGGAAUUGUGUGGGAGAAGAGAUGAGAGAAAAUUUUAACGAAGGGGUUUUUAUGUCUUUCUUAUUUAUUAUCUAGGGUUAGUAAUUAGAUAUCAAACACAAACAUUGUGUGACUAAUUAAUUUGUUUAACGAAUCAAACUCAAAAAUCUGAUUAA